CCUCAAAUUACAAAGUUACAUGUAUAUAUGGUGAAAGGGUAAUGGAUUGAUCUUUGUUAAUUCACAUAUAUGAAAAUCCCUUUGUAGAAACCCUAACACAGAUCCUGUAGAUCUGAACUGGAAAAGGAAAAUCAAGUAGAACCAGUACUUCACAUAUAUAAUCUAGAAUCGAUUUCUUCAGCAGUUACAAGUACAACACAAACAAUAGUUCUGAUCAUUUAAACAAGAUAAUCCAUACACACACACACUCGGAGAACAAAAGAGUUUCUUACCAAAUAUAGUGACUUGAGUCUUAACAUAACCUAUAACAACAAAACCAGGAAAGACAGAGCCUUUAUAUAGCUAACAAGAUCUAAGGAACAAGUUGCCAAACCAAAAGAAGUUGAAAAUUUGAGAUUUGCUUUGAUUCAACACUAGCAAAUCGUCGUCGGACCAAGAUGCUUGAUUCCCCAAAAGCGCAAAGACUUGCAAUAACUCUUUGAACUUUAUUAAGGAGAGAGAUCGAGAUUCUUCACUCGCAACCAAGGAGAGCGAGAAAGCUAGCUUAUUAGCUAUAGCUAAGCUAAGCUAGGGUUGUCUUUCUGCUGGGCGCUUGAAAAUCAUGAUGAGAAAAUUUUCUUUUCGUUGGGUCGCUUCUUUUUUUUCUUCCUCUUCUUUGGUGGUGAUAUUAAUGAGAAUAAUGACACUUUGGGUGUGGGUGUUGUGGGGUGGUUGGAGUUGGAGGUGAUGAAGCAGCAGCAGAGGGUGGUGUGGAAGCAAUGAUGGCGAUAAAGAAGGUAAGAGGAGGACAUGAUGAUUGCUGUUGGGUUCUGGCGUUGAAAGAAAGGCAAAGCCAAAAUUUCUAGGUUUUUUGUGCCCCCCUCUUUCUCUCUCUCUCUCUCUCUUUCUUUCUAACAUGUCAGAGCGAGAAAGAGAAAGAGAAAGAGAAAGAGAGAGAGAGAGAGAGAGAGAGAGAGAGAGAGAGAGAGAGAGAGUGCGUGUG
This 982-nucleotide long non-coding RNA is filed under the name Prunus dulcis (almond). Its description in RNAcentral is "sRNA ncRNA". Lineage: Eukaryota; Viridiplantae; Streptophyta; Magnoliopsida; Rosales; Rosaceae. The record is from RNAcentral.